AGAGUAUGAUCCUGGCUCAGGACGAACGCUGGCGGCACGCCUAACACAUGCAAGUCGAACGGAGAUGAUUUGAGUUUACUUAGAUCAUCUUAGUGGCGGACGGGUGAGUAACACGUGAGCAACCUGCCUUUGAGAGAGGGAUAGCUUCUGGAAACGGAUGGUAAUACCUCAUAACAUACAGAUACCGCAUGGUGACUGUAUCAAAGAUUUAUCACUCAAAGAUGGGCUCGCGUCUGAUUAGAUAGUUGGUGUGGUAACGGCUCACCAAGUCGACGAUCAGUAGCCGGACUGAGAGGUUGAACGGCCACAUUGGGACUGAGACACGGCCCAGACUCCUACGGGAGGCAGGAGUGGGGAAUAUUGCACAAUGGGGGAAACCCUGAUGCAGCGAUGCCGCGUGGAGGAAGAAGGUUUUCGGAUUGUAAACUCCUGUCUUAAAGGACGAUAAUGACGGUACUUUAGGAGGAAGCUCCGGCUAACUACGUGCCAGCAGCCGCGGUAAUACGUAGGGAGCGAGCGUUGUCCGGAAUUACUGGGUGUAAAGGGAGCGUAGGCGGGACGGCAAGUCAGAUGUGAAAUACAUGGGCUCAACCCAUGGGCUGCAUUUGAAACUGCUGUUCUUGAGUGAAGUAGAGGUAAGCGGAAUUCCUGGUGUAGCGGUGGAAUGCGUAGAUAUCAGGAGGAACACCGGUGGCGAAGGCGGCUUACUGGGCUUUUACUGACGCUGAGGCUCGAAAGCGUGGGGAGCAAACAGGAUUAGAUACCCUGUAGUCCACGCUGUAAACGAUGAUUACUAGGUGUGGGGGGACUGACCCCUUCCGUGCCGCAGUUAACACAAUAAGUAAUCCACCUGGGGAGUACGGCCGCAAGGUUGAAACUCAAAGGAAUUGACGGGGGCCCGCACAAGCAGUGGAGUAUGUGGUUUAAUUCGAAGCAACGCGAAGAACCUUACCAGGUCUUGACAUCGAGUGCAUAACUAAGAGAUUAGUGAAAUCCCUUCGGGGACACUUAGACAGGUGGUGCAUGGUUGUCGUCAGCUCGUGUCGUGAGAUGUUGGGUUAAGUCCCGCAACGAGCGCAACCCUUACCUUUAGUUGCUACGCAAGAGCACUCUAAAGGGACUGCCGUUGACAAAACGGAGGAAGGUGGGGAUGACGUCAAAUCAUCAUGCCCCUUAUGACCUGGGCUACACACGUACUACAA
Molecule: ribosomal RNA, 1202 nt
Filed under: metagenome
Description: bacterial SSU rRNA
Rfam family: Bacterial small subunit ribosomal RNA
Source: RNAcentral